Molecule: ribosomal RNA, 598 nt
Filed under: uncultured bacterium
Lineage: Bacteria
Description: bacterial SSU rRNA
Rfam family: Bacterial small subunit ribosomal RNA
Source: RNAcentral
GGGAGGCAGCAGUGGGGAAUAUUGCACAAUGGGGGAAACCCUGAUGCAGCCAUGCCGCGUGUGUGAAGAAGGCCUUCGGGUUGUAAAGCACUUUCAGUUGUGAGGAAAGGUUAACGGUUAAUACCCGUUAGCUGUGACGUUAGCAACAGAAGAAGGACCGGCUAACUCCGUGCCAGCAGCCGCGGUAAUACGGAGGGUCCGAGCGUUAAUCGGAAUUACUGGGCGUAAAGCGCACGCAGGCGGUUUGUUAAGCUAGAUGUGAAAGCCCUGGGCUCAACCUGGGAAUUGCAUUUAGAACUGGCAGGCUAGAGUUUUGGAGAGGGGAGUGGAAUUCCAGGUGUAGCGGUGAAAUGCGUAGAUAUCUGGAGGAACAUCAGUGGCGAAGGCGACUCCCUGGUCAGUAACUGACGCUCAUGUGCGAAAGUGUGGGUAGCGAACAGGAUUAGAUACCCUGGUAGUCCACACCGUAAACGCUGUCUACUAGCUGUUUGUGGAUUUAAUCCGUGAGUAGCGAAGCUAACGCGAUAAGUAGACCGCCUGGGGAGUACGGUCGCAAGGUUAAAACUCAAAUGAAUUGACGGGGACCCGCACAAAAGGG